CAGUAGCCGCGGGAACACGUAGGGUGCGAGCGUUGUCCGGAAUUACUGGGCGUAAAGAGCUCGUAGGCGGUUUGUCGCGUCGUCUGUGAAAUUCUGCAGCUUAACUGUAGGCGUGCAGGCGAUACGGGCAGACUUGAGUACUACAGGGGAGACUGGAAUUCCUGGUGUAGCGGUGAAAUGCGCAGAUAUCAGGAGGAACACCGGUGGCGAAGGCGGGUCUCUGGGUAGUAACUGACGCUGAGGAGCGAAAGCGUGGGUAGCGAACAGGAUUAGAUACCCCGGUAGUCCCUGUCUCUUAUAC
This 301-nucleotide ribosomal RNA is filed under the name uncultured bacterium. Its description in RNAcentral is "partial 16S ribosomal RNA". It matches the Rfam family "Bacterial small subunit ribosomal RNA", at positions 509 to 807 of the family's 1533-position model. The record is from RNAcentral.